Molecule: ribosomal RNA, 653 nt
Filed under: Janthinobacterium sp. SUN176
Lineage: Bacteria; Pseudomonadati; Pseudomonadota; Betaproteobacteria; Burkholderiales; Oxalobacteraceae
Description: bacterial SSU rRNA
Rfam family: Bacterial small subunit ribosomal RNA
Source: RNAcentral
GGGAGUACGGUCGCAAGAUUAAAACUCAAAGGAAUUGACGGGGACCCGCACAAGCGGUGGAUGAUGUGGAUUAAUUCGAUGCAACGCGAAAAACCUUACCUACCCUUGACAUGGCUGGAAUCCCCGAGAGAUUGGGGAGUGCUCGAAAGAGAACCAGUACACAGGUGCUGCAUGGCUGUCGUCAGCUCGUGUCGUGAGAUGUUGGGUUAAGUCCCGCAACGAGCGCAACCCUUGUCAUUAGUUGCUACGAAAGGGCACUCUAAUGAGACUGCCGGUGACAAACCGGAGGAAGGUGGGGAUGACGUCAAGUCCUCAUGGCCCUUAUGGGUAGGGCUUCACACGUCAUACAAUGGUACAUACAGAGCGCCGCCAACCCGCGAGGGGGAGCUAAUCGCAGAAAGUGUAUCGUAGUCCGGAUUGUAGUCUGCAACUCGACUGCAUGAAGUUGGAAUCGCUAGUAAUCGCGGAUCAGCAUGUCGCGGUGAAUACGUUCCCGGGUCUUGUACACACCGCCCGUCACACCAUGGGAGCGGGUUUUACCAGAAGUAGGUAGCUUAACCGCAAGGAGGGCGCUUACCACGGUAGGAUUCGUGACUGGGGUGAAGUCGUAACAAGGUAGCCGUAUCGGAAGGUGCGGCUGGAUCACCUCCUUU